GAUGAACGCUGGCGGCGUGCCUAAUACAUGCAAGUCGAGCGAACAGACGAGGAGCUUGCUCCUCUGACGUUAGCGGCGGACGGGUGAGUAACACGUGGAUAACCUACCUAUAAGACUGGGAUAACUUCGGGAAACCGGAGCUAAUACCGGAUAAUAUAUUGAACCGCAUGGUUCAAUAGUGAAAGACGGUUUUGCUGUCACUUAUAGAUGGAUCCGCGCCGCAUUAGCUAGUUGGUAAGGUAACGGCUUACCAAGGCGACGAUGCGUAGCCGACCUGAGAGGGGGAUCGGCCACACUGGAACUGAGACACGGUCCAGACUCCUACGGGAGGCAGCAGUAGGGAAUCUUCCGCAAUGGGCGAAAGCCUGACGGAGCAACGCCGCGUGAGUGAUGAAGGUCUUCGGAUCGUAAAACUCUGUUAUUAGGGAAGAACAAAUGUGUAAGUAACUAUGCACGUCUGGACGGUACCUAAUCAGAAAGCCACGGCUAACUACGU
This 496-nucleotide ribosomal RNA is filed under the name uncultured bacterium. Its description in RNAcentral is "partial 16S ribosomal RNA". It matches the Rfam family "Bacterial small subunit ribosomal RNA", at positions 28 to 506 of the family's 1533-position model. The record is from RNAcentral.